This 73-nucleotide transfer RNA is filed under the name Cordylochernes scorpioides. RNAcentral's name for it is "tRNA-Thr". Lineage: Eukaryota; Metazoa; Arthropoda; Arachnida; Pseudoscorpiones; Chernetidae. The record is from RNAcentral.
AUAAAGGGAUGGGAAUCGAACCCACAAUGUUCCGAUUACCGGGCAGAUGCCAUGUCCACUAGGCUACCCUGGA